AGAGUUUGAUCCUGGCUCAGGAUGAACGCUAGCUACAGGCUUAACACAUGCAAGUCGAGGGGAAACGACAUCGAAAAGCUUGCUUUUGAUGGGCGUCGACCGGCGCACGGGUGAGUAACGCGUAUCCAACCUGCCCACCACGUUGGGGAUAACCUUGCGAAAGUAAGACUAAUACCCAAUGAUAUCUCUAGAAGACAUCUGAAAGAGAUUAAAGAUUUAUCGGUGAUGGAUGGGGAUGCGUCUGAUUAGCUUGUUGGCGGGGUAACGGCCCACCAAGGCGACGAUCAGUAGGGGUUCUGAGAGGAAGGUCCCCCACAUUGGAACUGAGACACGGUCCAAACUCAUACGGGAGGCAGCA
Molecule: ribosomal RNA, 358 nt
Filed under: uncultured bacterium
Lineage: Bacteria
Description: bacterial SSU rRNA
Rfam family: Bacterial small subunit ribosomal RNA
Source: RNAcentral